This 70-nucleotide transfer RNA is filed under the name Ictidomys tridecemlineatus (thirteen-lined ground squirrel). RNAcentral describes it as "Spermophilus tridecemlineatus (thirteen-lined ground squirrel) tRNA". It matches the Rfam family "tRNA". From Rfam's summary of the family: Transfer RNA (tRNA) molecules are approximately 80 nucleotides in length. Their secondary structure includes four short double-helical elements and three loops (D, anti-codon, and T loops). The record is from Rfam by way of RNAcentral. Lineage: Eukaryota; Metazoa; Chordata; Mammalia; Rodentia; Sciuridae.
UGGUAGGUAGCUCAGCGGUAGAGCACUUGCCUCAUACGUGUGAUGCACUGGGUUCAAGUCCUAGCACCAC